This 77-nucleotide unclassified non-coding RNA is filed under the name Pedobacter insulae. RNAcentral's name for it is "Flavo-1 RNA". Lineage: Bacteria; Pseudomonadati; Bacteroidota; Sphingobacteriia; Sphingobacteriales; Sphingobacteriaceae. The record is from RNAcentral.
AUUUCGCGUUAGGGAUUGAAGUGAAAAGCCCACAGCGAGGCACGAGCGAGGACUUGCAACGGAAAGCCCGCUUGAGC